RNAcentral lists this ribosomal RNA (509 nucleotides) under uncultured soil bacterium. Its description in RNAcentral is "bacterial SSU rRNA". It matches the Rfam family "Bacterial small subunit ribosomal RNA", at positions 28 to 526 of the family's 1533-position model. The record is from RNAcentral.
GAUGAACGCUAGCGGCAGGCUUAAUACAUGCAAGUCGAGGGGCAGCAUGACUGUAGCAAUACAGUUGAUGGCGACCGGCAAGCGGGUGCGGAACACGUACAGAACCUUCCUUCGAGCGGGGAAUAGCCCAGAGAAAUUUGGAUUAAUACCCCAUAGAACUAUGAAGUGGCAUCACUUUAUACUUAAAGAUUUAUCACUUGAAGAUGGCUGUGCGGCUGAUUAGGUAGUUGGCGGGGUAACGGCCACCAAGCCUGCGAUCAGUAACUGGUGUGAGAGCACGACCAGUCACACGGGCACUGAGACACGGGCCCGACUCCUACGGGAGGCAGCAGUAAGGAAUAUUGGUCAAUGGACGAAAGUCUGAACCAGCCAUGCCGCGUGGAGGAUGAAGGCCCUCUGGGUUGUAAACUUCUUUUAUAUGGGACGAAAAAGGGUCUUUCUAGAUCAACUGACGGUACCAUGUGAAUAAGCACCGGCUAACUCCGUUGCCAGCCAGCCGCAGGUAAUAC